RNAcentral lists this ribosomal RNA (274 nucleotides) under uncultured bacterium. RNAcentral describes it as "partial 16S ribosomal RNA". It matches the Rfam family "Bacterial small subunit ribosomal RNA", at positions 85 to 354 of the family's 1533-position model. The record is from RNAcentral.
CCGCCGGCGACCGGCGCACGGGUGAGUAACACGUAUGCAACCUGGCCGUGACAGAUGGAUAACCGGGAGAAAUCCCGCCUAAUACAACAUAAUGCCGGGAGGGGACAUCCCCUGCCGGCCAAAGGGGGCGAACCCCGGUCACGGAUGGGCAUGCGGCGCAUUAGGUAGUUGGUGGGGCAACGGCCCACCAAGCCGACGAUGCGUAGGGGUUCUGAGAGGAAGGUCCCCCACAUUGGAACUGAGACACGGUCCAAACUCCUACGGAAGGCAGCAG